This 253-nucleotide ribosomal RNA is filed under the name uncultured bacterium. Its description in RNAcentral is "partial 16S ribosomal RNA". It matches the Rfam family "Bacterial small subunit ribosomal RNA", at positions 524 to 776 of the family's 1533-position model. The record is from RNAcentral.
UACAGGGGGUGCAAACGUUGCUCGGAAUUAUUGGGCGUAAAGCGCGCGUAGGCGGCUACAUAAGUCGGAUGUGAAAGCCCCUGGCUUAACUGGGGAAGUGCACCCGAAACUGGGUAGCUAGAGUGCAAAAGAGGGUCGCGGAAUUCCCAGUGUAGAGGUGAAAUUCGUAGAUAUUGGGAGGAACACCGGUGGCGAAGGCGGCGACCUGGGUUGACACUGACGCUGAGGCGCGAAAGCGUGGGGAGCAAACAGG